RNAcentral lists this ribosomal RNA (317 nucleotides) under uncultured eukaryote. RNAcentral's name for it is "partial 18S ribosomal RNA". It matches the Rfam family "Eukaryotic small subunit ribosomal RNA", at positions 1470 to 1796 of the family's 1831-position model. The record is from RNAcentral.
CCCCUAGAUGUUCUGGGCCGCACGCGUGCUACACUGACCGGCGCAACAAGUUUAUUUCCUUGGCUCGACAGGCCUGGGUAAUCUUCGAACGCUGGUCGUGAUGGGGAUAGAUUCUUGCAAUUUUUGAUCUUCAACGAGGAAUUCCUAGUAAAUGCAAGUCAUCAUCUUGCGUUGAUUACGUCCCUGCCCUUUGUACACACCGCCCGUCGCACCUACCGAUUGAAUGGUCCGGUGAAGCCUCCGGAUUGCGCCAACCUCGUGUUGUGCGCGAGAAGCUGGCUGAACCUUACCAUUUAGAGGAAGGUGAAGUCGUAACA